Molecule: long non-coding RNA, 555 nt
Filed under: Apteryx haastii (Great spotted kiwi)
Lineage: Eukaryota; Metazoa; Chordata; Aves; Apterygiformes; Apterygidae
Description: lncRNA (ENSAHAG00000015436.1)
Source: RNAcentral
AUAUGAAAAAGGAGAAUUUGAAACCCUGGGAUGUGACAGUAAAAAGAAUGAUGAUGGAAAAAUGGAGGUGGGAUGAGAAAACAGAAAAAAAAAAUUGGAGUUUCUGGGCAAGGAAAUAGAAAUUGGCCUGACAAAGAGACAUUUUUACUGAUGGUCCAGCAGAAAGACAACACACAGCACAGCAAUAUAGAGGGACCCCAGCUACUCCCUCCAUUCAAAAUCUACUGUGAAACUCUCACUGAAGGCAAUAAGGGAAGAUUUAGACCUUCUAAUUCAAUUAUAAUUAACCCAGACUCAGGCUUCUCUUUCAUGAUAUAUCUGGAAGCGAAAAUGGUACAAGUGAGUAAGCAGACAAGCACAUGGCCAGGACUGUUAUAGCAAGAGUGAUGGCAUGCAACCGCUGAGUUACUGCAUAAGGAACACUUCACCACUCUGGAAGAAAGAAGCUGCUGCAUUUGGUGGAGCCAAAACCUGCAAACAUGCUCUGAGAAUGCCUGCAUGAGCAAAAAGCAGAUAAACACCAUCUGAAGCACUUCCAAGUAAACAGAGCUGCAG